RNAcentral lists this unclassified non-coding RNA (1455 nucleotides) under Hevea brasiliensis (rubber tree). Lineage: Eukaryota; Viridiplantae; Streptophyta; Magnoliopsida; Malpighiales; Euphorbiaceae. The record is from RNAcentral.
GGCAAAUUCAGUCGUUCUAAUCUAGAAUAUGUGUGGGUCUAUAGAGCUUCAUAUGGAAUGAUAAAGCCUCAUCUAUUCUCUAGAGAUACGUCUCCCCCCCCUCUCUCUAUUUAUAGAACAAAACCCAAUCUCUCUUCCUGCAAAAGAACCCUCGUAUCAAAAAAUGGCAGAGAAACACAAGAAGCCUCAUGCAAUCGUCUUCGCUUACCCUCUCCAAGGUCAUAUAGUCCCAGUUGUCCACCUUGCUCUGAAGUUGGCCUCCCAUGGUUUCACCAUCACCUUCAUCAACACACACUCCAUCCACAAUCACACCUCCAAGGCCCAUCCCAAAGCUGGUGCAGAGUUGUUUGCCAAGGCCCGCGAAUCAGGUCUGGACAUCCGCUACACCACCAUCUCUGAUGGGCUUCCUGUUGAGUUCGACCGAUCAUUGAACCAUGACCAGUUCUUGGCAGCUCUAUUGCAUGUGUUCUCAGCUCAUGCAGAGGAGGUGGUGGCUAAGAUUGUUGCUUCUGGAGAGGAUGUUCAUUGUUUGAUUGCUGAUACCUUUUUUGUAUGGCCUUCAAAGAUUGCCAAGAAAUUUGAUUUGGUUCAUGUUUCUUUCUGGACAGAACCUGCUUUGGUAUUUACUUUGUAUUAUCACUGGGAUCUUCUAAGGUUAAAUGGUCAUUUUGAUUGCCAAGGUAUGGUGACUUUGCAUGUAAUAGUUUAAUUUGUAGUAUAGAAAUAUCUCCAAUACUAUGAGUUAAGUUCAUUUUGUGAUCAGAUUGCCGCGAGGAUACCAUAGAUUACAUACCAGGAGUGAAGGCAAUCGAACCAAAGGAUACGACGUCGUAUCUUCAAGAAACAGAUACGACAUCUAUUUGCCACCAAAUUAUUUAUAGCUGUUUCAUUGACACUAAAAAUGCAGCUUUUGUUUUAUGCAAUACAGUGCAAGAACUUGAACAUGACACCAUAUCAGCUCUGCAAGCCAAAAUUCCAUACUAUGCAAUUGGACCCAUUUUCCCUAAUGACUUUUCCAAGACCAUUGUAGCCACCAGCCUGUGGUCCGAGUCAGAAUGCACCAAGUGGCUAGACAAAAGGCCACAUGCCUCAGUGUUGUACAUAUCAUUUGGUAGCUAUGCCCAUGUUACAAAAAAUGACCUUGUAGAGAUAGCAAGUGGGCUUUCCCUAAGCAAAGUGAGUUUUGUUUUGGUGCUUCGACCUGAUGUUGUGAGCUCAGAUGAUGCUGAUCCAUUGCCCGUCGGAUUCAAAGAAGAGGUUGCUGACCGUGCGAUUGUUAUACCUUGGUGCACUCAGAGAGAAGUCUUGGCCCACCCAGCAAUCGGAGGGUUCCUAACCCAUUGUGGGUGGAAUUCCAUAUUAGAAAGCAUAUGGUGUGAAGUACCAUUAUUGUGUUUCCCUCUAUAUACUGAUCAAUUCACAAAUAGGAAAUUAGUGGUUGAUGAUUGGAAGAUU